CGAAAGGCUUGCUGGAACAAUACACGGUGGCACCAGCAAACAGUCAUCAGCCAGCCACAAAAGUUGUUGUCAACACCAUUCAUUAACAAUAUAAUAUUUACAUAAUCUCGUAUCAUCUUGAGAUGGAUAAAACAAAGAUCGGAGACGCAUCCACAUCGCACAGUGAGUCAACUCAUCAAAGGAAUCAGCCUACUUAAGCAAGGAGGAAGGGAGAGAAGCCGCAAGGGAACCGUUAAUUUUGGUGGCUUGAAGUUGCAAGGGAGGUAGCUAGGCUGAGGCUGAGGUUGCUGCUGAUCAUGACUAACAGAUUGAGAAGAUACCUUAAGAUAAAUUCUCUAUCGUCAAGCAGAAACUGGGAUGAAGAACCAUCUGCCGCCAAAACCAACCGUCUGGAGUGGCUCAACAUCAACAUUAAUGAGAAUUCAACUAUUUUAGAGGAGAUUAGGAGGGCACAAAGGCCAAAAUGGAUAUACGAAAGGUGGAUGGUAAGGUACUGAAGGAGAAAGAUCGGGAGUUCAUAUAUUCACAUAAGGUACUUCACCCUGGAGCCCAGUUUCCUUUCUUAUUACAAAAGGAUACCGCAAGAUAACAAGGUUCCAAUCAAGACCCUUUUGAUUGAUGGCAAUUGUAGGGUAGAGGAUACAUGUUUGAAGACUCAUCAAGGACAUAUGAUUUACACUCUAUCUGUUUACAACAAGAAAGAAAAGAAUAAUGCAAUAACAUUUGUGGCAUAUGACAUCCAGGAAGCACUGAUCUGGAAGGAAAAAAUUGAAUCUCUAAUUGAUCAGCAUAACACUGUUAGUGAUAAAUAUGCCUUAUACAUGGAUCUGGUAUGGAUAAUGGGGUGACUGCUAGUUCAUCAGAAAAUGGAAGCCAGUUUGGUGAACAUGAGGGUGAAGACGACACUCAUACAAAUUUGUUCCGGAGAAAAACAAUUGGAAAUGAGGACCGGACACCAGAAUGUG
Molecule: long non-coding RNA, 965 nt
Organism: Populus euphratica (Euphrates poplar)
Lineage: Eukaryota; Viridiplantae; Streptophyta; Magnoliopsida; Malpighiales; Salicaceae
Exons: 9
Source: RefSeq, a predicted model, not a curated record